Molecule: ribosomal RNA, 354 nt
Filed under: uncultured Haemophilus sp.
Lineage: Bacteria; Pseudomonadati; Pseudomonadota; Gammaproteobacteria; Pasteurellales; Pasteurellaceae
Description: bacterial SSU rRNA
Rfam family: Bacterial small subunit ribosomal RNA
Source: RNAcentral
GAGUUUGAUCCUGGCUCAGAUUGAACGCUGGCGGCAGGCUUAACACAUGCAAGUCGAACGGUAACAGGAGAAAGCUUGCUUUCUUGCUGACGAGUGGCGGACGGGUGAGUAAUGCUUGGGAAUCUGGCUUAUGGAGGGGGAUAACGACGGGAAACUGUCGCUAAUACCGCGUAGAGUCGAGAGACGAAAGUGCGGGACCGCAAGGCCGCAUGCCAUGAGAUGAGCCCAAGUGGGAUUAGGUAGUUGGUGGGGUAAAGGCCUACCAAGCCGACGAUCUCUAGCUGGUCUGAGAGGAUGACCAGCCACACCGGGACUGAGACACGGCCCGGACUCCUACGGGAGGCAGCAGAAGGG